ACAAAGCAUUCUUGAGUAAAGGGCUUUCAAGUUUGUUCAAAAGAAGGGUAAUGUCCCUUUCAAAGGGGAGAUAAUCACAAAAAUGCAAAUAUAGAGUGGGGUCAUUCAAAAAUCUUCUAAUCAAGAGCCACUUGGCCAGAAAAGCUGAAAUUUACAUGACAGCUUACUGGCAUAGUACAAAUUCAAGUUUAUUAAAAUCAUGGCCCCUGGGGGUUGGAUGGGGCCACAAUAGGGGAUCAAAGUUUUACAUACAAAUAUAUAAGGAAAAUGUUUAAAAAUCUUCUCAAGAACCACUGAUCCAGAAAAACUGAUAUUUACAUGAAAGCUUUCUGACAUAAUGCAGAUUCAAGUUUGUUCAAAUCAUGGCCCCCGGGUGUUGGAUGGGGCCACAAUAGGGGAUCAAAGUUUUACAUACAAAUAUAUAAGGAAAAUGUUUAAAAAUCUUUUUCUCAAGAACCACUGAGCCAGAAAAGCUGAUAUUGACAUGAAAGCUUCCUGACAUAUUUCAGAUUUCAGUUUGUGAAAAUCAUGGCUCCCAGAGGUAGGAUGGGGUCACAUGGGGGAUCAAAGUUUUGCAUACAAAUAUAUAGGAAAAAUCUUUAAAUACAUAUGUAUGAGCCAAAGUGACUCAGGUGAGCGAUGUGGCCCUUGGGCCUCUUGUUUGUAUGUGGUGUGGUAGACAAUUUUUAGUUCAUCCUAGCUCCUAAUUAUUCAAAUCCAUUGUUAUUAAAUUUGGACCGGUGUAUGCUUUACAAAAACUUGAAAAAUGAAAGAAUAUGUUUUGGAGGGAUGUAAGUAAAUCCUGGAAAUGGUUAAUAUGUCUUUUUGAGAAAAAAAAAUCUUCUGAACGUAUGGUUAAUAGUGUUUUAUGGUACAAUGAAAACAUAAAGGUAAAUAGAAAAACUUUAUAUCUGAAAGAAUGGUGUGAAAAUAAUGUAUAUACAGUUAACUCAAUGUUAGAUGAGAAUGGAGAUAUCAUGAAUUAUAAUCAAUUCAUGGAAAUGUAUAAAGUAAAAUCUCAUUUUUUGGAAUUUUUUGGUUUAAGACAAGCAUUGAAGAAAGCAAUGAGAGAUAAUGGAAUAAACCAGUUUAUAAAAGUUCAAGAACCUACUAUUCCCAUACAUAUAGCCCCUUUCAUAUAUUUUAAAAGAAACAAGAAAAAACUGUACCAAAUUUUUAAUCAUAGUGAAGAAAAACCUACAGGUCAAAAGAAGUGGGAUAUACAAUUUGAUAUCUCUCAAGAAGAGUGGAAUACAAUUAAUAAAAAUGUUUUUACUAUUACAAAGGAUACAAAAUUACAGUGGCUACAAUAUCGUAUAAAUCAAAAAAUUUUAGUCACAAAUUUAUUUUUGUUCAAAAUAAAGAAAAUAGACAACGAUUUAUGUUCGUUUUGUGUAAAAGAAAGGGAAUCAAUAGAGCAUGUUUUGUAUGACUGUGAAAAUGUUGUUUUAUUUUGCAAGAAUGUGCAGUCAUGGUUUAGGGAUUUUUUUCCAGUAAAUAUUGUUGUUGAUAAAAAAAAAAACCUUUUUGCUGGGUAGCUCAGAAAAUGAAAUGAUCAAUUUGAUUAAUUAUUAUUUAAAGUACUUUGUGUAUGGUUGCAAAUGUAGAGGCAAUCCGCCUUUGUUAAAUAACUUUAUUACCACUUGGACAGAUGUGUACAAAGUAGAAAGGCAGUUAGCAUGUAAAAAUGAUUAUGUAGAUGUUUUUGAGAAGAAAUGGAAUACAUUUCAUAAAUUAAAAGAUUUAUAGAUUUUAGAUCAUCCAGAAUAUAUAAUAUGUAAUUGUAUAUAUUAAUUAGCCUAUGUAUAGCAUCGGAAGUUAUUAUCAAUGUCAUAACAGUACAUUUGUUAUACAUUUAAAACCUUUAGUUUGUGACAACCUAUUAGAUUAAUAUUAUUUUGUAUAGUGUACAUAUGAUAAGCCAGAGUAAUUUCAUUCCUUUCUAAUUCUCUUCCUUUUUUCCUAUCUUUGAAUGAAUGCCUAUUAGAGUGGAUGUGUGAGUAAAUGGUAGAUAAAAUACCCUGUACCCCCUAGUCAGGUGGGUUUGUAAGGGCAUGAUGUUAAAACCCUGACUGUCAUAAUGUGAAUAAAUGUUGUAUGAACCUAAAAAAAAAAAAAAAAAAAAAAAAAAUCCAUUGGCCAGGGGUUGUGGGGAAAACAUGAUAUACAUCUACAUCCUUACUUCUGAAAACAAUGUCCACUUCAAAACCAUGUAUGAACAAGACAACAGUAUUUUUCCAGUGAGGAAGAAGACCAUGAAAGACACCACCAGUUUAUAAAAAAAAUCCGUUCAAUAAAUAUAUUAAACUUUACUGCUUUGGGGAAAGUAUAUUGAUAUAUUGGUAAGAAAGUAAUUUUCUAAAGAAUCAGCAGCUCACAUUUUGAUUACUUUGAUAUGAUAGGAAUUAGUCAAUAUAUAUUUUGGGUAUGGAUCCAAAAUACACAUCUUUAUGAAGUUGAAUGAACAUGUUUGCUCAAUUUUUACACAAGUAGUGCAUCACAUAACAUAUUAAAGCUUUCUAAUCCGACUUUUAUUUUUAGGAAUUGGGACACGUUCUAAAUAUACUCAGGGACAGAAUGAUGUGCAGCAGGGUUCGUCAUGGGUAGAGAUACUCCCAUUUAAUAUUGAUACUUUUCAUAUCCAAGCAUGUAUAUGGCUAGGUUGUAUAAUGUUUGUUAUAAUUAUCUAAAUUAUGUCCUUCCUUCCAUCUAUUGUUCUGUGUGUUGAUUUCUCACCACUCUGCAAGAAAGGGCAUUCAUGUCUAUUUCAUAGACGAUCCUACAUGUAGUUGCAAUUGAAUCAUAAAUUAUUCCCAAAGAGUUCAUGAUUUCAUCAUGUUUUGAAUAUAAUAUUUUUUCAAUAUCUAUUUUAGAUUUUACCAAAUACAGAACACUGCAAGGCUUGCAAAAUGAAGACCUCAGUAAAAAAAAUUCUAAAUUAUCCACUAAUGGCAGCUCACUACCUGCCCCUAGUGAUGCUAAAAGAGGCCGUUGUUCUCAUUUGUUCCAAAACAGGAAUGGCAUAUGAGGAGGCCAACAGAAGAUGCACCUCCACUGACCUCCACUGAGUGUGCACUCACAAAACGAAUAAAUUAUUAUUAUUUCU
Ostrea edulis (European flat oyster) is the source of this 3106-nucleotide long non-coding RNA. RefSeq lists it as uncharacterized. The record is from RefSeq and is a predicted model, not a curated record. Lineage: Eukaryota; Metazoa; Mollusca; Bivalvia; Ostreida; Ostreidae. The transcript is spliced from 2 exons.